AACUUAGCAGAGAUGCUUUGGUGCCUUCGGGAACUCUGAGACAGGUGCUGCAUGGCUGUCGUCAGCUCGUGUUGUGAAAUGUUGGGUUAAGUCCCGCAACGAGCGCAACCCUUAUCCUUUGUUGCCAGCGAUUCGGUCGGGAACUCAAAGGAGACUGCCGGUGAUAAACCGGAGGAAGGUGGGGAUGACGUCAAGUCAUCAUGGCCCUUACGGCCAGGGCUACACACGUGCUACAAUGGCGCAUACAAAGAGAAGCGACCUCGCGAGAGCAAGCGGGACCUCAUAAAGUGCGUCGUAGUCCGGAUUGGAGUCUGCAACUCGACUCCAUGAAGUCGGAAUCGCUAGUAAUCGUAGAUCAGAAUGCUACGGUGAAUACGUUCCCGGGCCUUGUACACACCGCCCGUCACACCAUGGGAGUGGGUUGCAAAAGAAGUAGGUAGCUUAACCUUCGGGAGGGCGCUUACCACUUUGUGAUUCAUGACUGGGGUGAAGUCGUAACAAGGUAGGCGUAGAUGA
RNAcentral lists this ribosomal RNA (516 nucleotides) under uncultured bacterium. RNAcentral describes it as "bacterial SSU rRNA". It matches the Rfam family "Bacterial small subunit ribosomal RNA", at positions 994 to 1509 of the family's 1533-position model. The record is from RNAcentral.